AUUGAACGCUGGCGGCAUGCUUUACACAUGCAAGUCGAACGGUAACAGGCCGCAAGGUGCUGACGAGUGGCGAACGGGUGAGUAAUGCAUCGGAACGUGCCCAGUCGUGGGGGAUAACUACUCGAAAGAGUAGCUAAUACCGCAUCCGAUCUAUGGAUGAAAGCGGGGGACCGUAAGGCCUCGCGCGAUUGGAGCGGCCGAUGUCAGAUUAGUUAGUUGGUGGGGUAAAGGCUCACCAAGCCAACGAUCUGUAGCUGGUCUGAGAGGACGACCGGCCACACUGGGACUGAGACACGGCCCAGACGCCUACGGGAGGCAGCAGUGGGGAAUUUUGGACAAUGGGCGCAAGCCUGAUCCAGCAAUGCCGCGUGCAGGAAGAAGGCCUUCGGGUUGUAAACUGCUUUUGUACGGAACGAAACGGCUCUGGUUAAUACCCGGGGCUAAUGACGGUACCGUAAGAAUAAGCACCGGCUAACUACGUG
This 482-nucleotide ribosomal RNA is filed under the name uncultured bacterium. RNAcentral describes it as "partial 16S ribosomal RNA". It matches the Rfam family "Bacterial small subunit ribosomal RNA", at positions 30 to 507 of the family's 1533-position model. The record is from RNAcentral.